Long non-coding RNA from Bactrocera neohumeralis, 1063 nucleotides. RefSeq lists it as uncharacterized. The transcript is spliced from 2 exons. NCBI's taxonomy places the organism in Eukaryota, Metazoa, Arthropoda, Insecta, Diptera, Tephritidae. The record is from RefSeq and is a predicted model, not a curated record.
UGUUCAGUCAUUUUAUGCGUAUGUGUUUGUGGCUAGAAUAUAAAUAUUUUUUUAAUAAAAAUUAAAUUGUAUUAUGAUAACACACGCGAAUUUUGUUUAUUUGUAGACUCAGGAGACAUGGUACAAUUUAAAUUUUUUUGUUGGUUUUAUUUUAAAAUUAUAAAAAUUUAAAUUGUAAAAAUGUGUAGAUAAUUUUUCAUGCACCACUGCCGAAAAGAGUAGCUAUAUAUAAAUAAACACUUAUUUAACGAAAUAAACGCAAAUCAUGUAAAGCCCCACAAAGCCUGGUUUUUAUUCGCAUUCAUAGUACAUAUGUACAUAUGUAUGUACAUAUGUACAUUUUCAGUUAUCAAAAGCAGCGCUAAGUCAAAUUAACAUUUCAGUCGGACUAUUAUAGUGAAAAAUAUGCAUUCGAUUUGUGCGGCAAUUUCUUUGUUAGCAAUAAUCUCGCAAAGCCACGUCACUUAUGCAAGAACGCGUUAUGAAGAAUUCGACCUAAACGAUUGUCAACAAAACGCAAUUGUAGAUGCGGAGUAUAGUACAUCGACACAACCGCUGACUGCUGAUGUCACCUGUUCAGCGUUUUGUAAAUUUCGCGAGUUUCCAUACGGCGGCUGUGAUUGUGUGACGAAGAAAUGUGUUUGCGCAAAUAUGAAUUUGAAUUUUUGCAAUUUUCAGAGUAAAAGAUUAUUUAUAUAAAAUAAAUAAAUCUCAUAACCAAAUGGUUUAAGAAACAUAACUGCACAUAUUUUUGCCAUAUGAAAUGAAAGAAUAUUUUUGGGCCUUUAAAGUUUGCAAUUAUAUUUUUUGUAAAUUUCAAUAAAUUCAUUUCCUUUAAAUUUACAUAUUGGAAAUUUCAGCUAAUAUGCAUAUCUAUAGACCAAUCUAAUAUAAACAAUACUUUUUCAAAUUAAAUUUGCUUAAUAGGUAAAUAUCUUAUUCACUAACUCCUUUUGUGAAUCCAAUAUUCAAAGAAAAAAAUAAGCAGACAAUAUAAGAAUCAGCACAAAUGUAUUGUAAAUCUAAGACCGAAAUACUAUUAAUAAACUCGUAUGUAUGUGAA